UUACCAGGGCUUGACAUACGUUGGAAGCGCAUCGAAAGGUGCGUGCCGCUUGCGGCCGGCGUACAGGUGCUGCAUGGCUGUCGUCAGCUCGUGCUGUGAAGUGUUGGGUUAAGUCCCGCAACGAGCGCAACCCCUGCUGCCUGUUGCCACCACGAGAGGUGGGGACUCAGGCGGGACCGCCGGUGACAACGGAGGAAGGUGGGGACGACGUCAAGUCAUCAUGGCCCUUAUGUCCUGGGCUACACACGUGCUACAAUGGCCGGUACCGAGCGCAGCGAGGCCGCGAGGCGGAGCGAAUCGCUUAAAGCCGGUCCCAGUACGGAUUGGAGUCUGCAACCCGACUCCAUGAAGUUGGAAUCGCUAGUAAUCGCGCAUCAGCAUGGCGCGGUGAAUACGUUCCCGGGCCUU
RNAcentral lists this ribosomal RNA (408 nucleotides) under uncultured Spirochaeta sp. RNAcentral describes it as "bacterial SSU rRNA". It matches the Rfam family "Bacterial small subunit ribosomal RNA", at positions 971 to 1382 of the family's 1533-position model. Lineage: Bacteria; Pseudomonadati; Spirochaetota; Spirochaetia; Spirochaetales; Spirochaetaceae. The record is from RNAcentral.